GAUGAACGCUGGCGGCGUGCCUAAUACAUGCAAGUCGAGCGAACGGACGAGAAGCUUGCUUUUCUGAUGUUAGCGGCGGACGGGUGAGUAACACGUGGAUAACCUACCUAUAAGACUGGGAUAACUUCGGGAAACCGGAGCUAAUACCGGAUAAUAUUUUGAACCGCAUGGUUCAAAAGUGAAAGACGGUCUUGCUGUCACUUAUAGAUGGAUCCGCGCUGCAUUAGCUAGUUGGUAAGGUAACGGCUUACCAAGGCAACGAUGCAUAGCCGACCUGAGAGGGUGAUCGGCCACACUGGAACUGAGACACGGUCAAGACCCAUACGGGAGGCAGCAGUAGGGAAUCUUACGCAAUGGGCGAAAGCCUGACGGAGCAACGCCGCGUGAGUGAUGAAGGUCUUCGGAUCGGAAAACUCUGUUAUUAGGGAAGAACAUAUGUGUAAGUAACUGUGCACAUCUUGACGGUACCUAAUCAGAAAGCCACGGCUAACUACGUG
Molecule: ribosomal RNA, 497 nt
Filed under: uncultured bacterium
Lineage: Bacteria
Description: partial 16S ribosomal RNA
Rfam family: Bacterial small subunit ribosomal RNA
Source: RNAcentral